RNAcentral lists this ribosomal RNA (253 nucleotides) under uncultured bacterium. RNAcentral describes it as "partial 16S ribosomal RNA". It matches the Rfam family "Bacterial small subunit ribosomal RNA", at positions 524 to 776 of the family's 1533-position model. The record is from RNAcentral.
UACGGAGGAUCCGAGCGUUAUCCGGAUUUAUUGGGUUUAAAGGGUGCGUAGGCGGACUCUUAAGUCGGUGGUGAAAUCCUGGAGCUCAACUCCAGAACUGCCUUCGAUACUGAGAGUCUCGAGUCCGGGAGAGGUGAGUGGAACCGCGAGUGUAGAGGUGAAAUUCGUAGAUAUUCGCAAGAACACCAGUGGCGAAGGCGGCUCACUGGCCCGGUACUGACGCUGAGGUGCGAAAGCGUGGGGAGCAAACAGG